GACGAACGCUGGCGGCGUGCUUAACACAUGCAAGUCGAACGGAAAGGCCCUGCUUUUGUGGGGUGCUCGAGUGGCGAACGGGUGAGUAACACGUGAGUAACCUGCCCUUGACUUUGGGAUAACUUCAGGAAACUGGGGCUAAUACCGGAUAGGAGCUCCUGCUGCAUGGUGGGGGUUGGAAAGUUUCGGCGGUUGGGGAUGGACUCGCGGCUUAUCAGCUUGUUGGUGGGGUAGUGGCUUACCAAGGCUUUGACGGGUAGCCGGCCUGAGAGGGUGACCGGCAACAUUGGGACUGAGAUACGGCCCAGACUCCUACGGGAGGCAGCAGUGGGGAAUAUUGCACAAUGGGCGGAAGCCUGAUGCAGCAACGCCGCGUGCGGGAUGACGGCCUUUGGGUUGUAACCGCUUUCGCCUGUGACGAAGCGUGAGUGACGGUAAUGGGUAAAGAAGCACCGGCUAACUACGUG
This 467-nucleotide ribosomal RNA is filed under the name uncultured bacterium. RNAcentral's name for it is "partial 16S ribosomal RNA". It matches the Rfam family "Bacterial small subunit ribosomal RNA", at positions 28 to 507 of the family's 1533-position model. The record is from RNAcentral.